RNAcentral lists this ribosomal RNA (468 nucleotides) under uncultured bacterium. RNAcentral's name for it is "partial 16S ribosomal RNA". It matches the Rfam family "Bacterial small subunit ribosomal RNA", at positions 28 to 507 of the family's 1533-position model. The record is from RNAcentral.
GACGAACGCUGGCGGCGUGCUUAACACAUGCAAGUCGAACGGAAAGGCCCUGCUUUUGUGGGGUGCUCGAGUGGCGAACGGGUGAGUAACACGUGAGUAACCUGCCCUUGACUUUGGGAUAACUUCAGGAAACUGGGGCUAAUACCCGAUAGGAUCUCCUGCUGCAUGGUGGGGGUUGGAAAGUUUCGGCGGUUGGGGAUGGACUCGCGGCUUAUCAGCUUGUUGGUGGGGUAGUGGCUUACCAAGGCUUUGACGGGUAGCCGGCCUGAGAGGGUGACCGGCCACAUUGGGACUGAGGUACGGCCCAGAAUCCUACGGGAGGCAGCAGUGGGGAAUAUUGCACAAUGGGCGGAAGCCUGAUGCAGCAACGCCGCGUGCGGGAUGACGGCCUUCGGGUUGUAAACCGCUUUCGCCUGUGACGAAGCGUGAGUGACGGUAAUGGGUAAAGAAGCACCGGCUAACUACGUG